UAACUACUGGAAACGGUAGCUAAUACCGCAUAACGUCGCAAGACCAAAGAGGGGGACCUUCGGGCCUCUUGCCAUCGGAUGUGCCCAGAUGGGAUUAGCUAGUAGGUGGGGUAACGGCUCACCUAGGCGACGAUCCCUAGCUGGUCUGAGAGGAUGACCAGCCACACUGGAACUGAGACACGGUCCAGACUCCUACGGGAGGCAGCAGUGGGGAAUAUUGCACAAUGGGCGCAAGCCUGAUGCAGCCAUGCCGCGUGUAUGAAGAAGGCCUUCGGGUUGUAAAGUACUUUCAGCGGGGAGGAAGGGAGUAAAGUUAAUACCUUUGCUCAUUGACGUUACCCGCAGAAGAAGCACCGGCUAACUCCGUGCCAGCAGCCGCGGUAAUACGGAGGGUGCAAGCGUUAAUCGGAAUUACUGGGCGUAAAGCGCACGCAGGCGGUUUGUUAAGUCAGAUGUGAAUCCCCGGGCUCAACCUGGGAACUGCAUCUGAUACUGGCAAGCUUGAGUCUCGUAGAGGGGGGUAGAAUUC
Molecule: ribosomal RNA, 529 nt
Filed under: uncultured Pseudomonadota bacterium
Lineage: Bacteria; Pseudomonadati; Pseudomonadota
Description: bacterial SSU rRNA
Rfam family: Bacterial small subunit ribosomal RNA
Source: RNAcentral